AAAGCUUUAUUUCGAGUUUUCGCUGGGUCAUAUUAAAGAGUAAUCGGAAAGA
This 52-nucleotide small RNA is filed under the name Bombyx mori (domestic silkworm). RNAcentral describes it as "Bm_185". Lineage: Eukaryota; Metazoa; Arthropoda; Insecta; Lepidoptera; Bombycidae. The record is from RNAcentral.